Hibiscus syriacus is the source of this 2726-nucleotide RNA transcript. It is a transcript of the gene named protein EXECUTER 1, chloroplastic-like, with no coding region annotated. The record is from RefSeq and is a predicted model, not a curated record. Lineage: Eukaryota; Viridiplantae; Streptophyta; Magnoliopsida; Malvales; Malvaceae. The transcript is spliced from 12 exons.
AGCCUGGAAACAGCAAAAUAAAAAACAUAGCUUUAUCUGAGCUCCGAAUUGCCUACCACCCAUUCCAGCAAUUACCCACAAAGAUUUGUCCUUUUGAUUUCGUAGCAGAGGAAAAUAGCAUGGAAGUAGGCGGCCAUUGUUAACUUUCAGUUUCUUUCUCUCUUUUCGAUGGCUUCAAUUCGAUCUCCAACGCCUCCCAGUCUCACUUUCUCGACCCACCAUUUCCCUUCCUUCAAAACACCCUUCUUUCACCCUGCUUCCACCUCCAUGAGGUUCCCCCAUUCCACUCUUUGCCGCUGCUCUAACGGCGAUUCCAAUGGGAAUUCCGUUAACUGGAGAUGGGACUCCGCAAUUCAAGACGUGUUCCAGAACACCGUCAAGCGAUUCUAUUCCUACGUGAACCCUUUCAGGAAACAACCCACCGCCGCCGGAGAUGCUGUGAACGACGCCGUUGAGGGGAAACAAGAAGAGGACGAUCGUGAUUGGGAUUGGGAUCGGUGGAAAAUGCAUUUCGAUCAAGUCGAUGAACAGGAACGUCUCGUCUCCCUUUUAAAGACGCAAUUAAAUGAAGCUGUGCGUAGAGAAGAUUAUGAGGAUGCUGCUAGGUUAAAGGUUGCAAUUGCAGCUGCAUCUAGGAACGAUACUGUUGGUAGAGUCAUAUCACAUUUAAAUAGAGCAGUAAUGGAAGAACGUUUCAUGGAUGCUGCAUUUUUAAGAGAUAAUGCUGGUGCUGGAUUAGUUGGAUGGUGGGCUGGUCUUCCUAAUGAUGCCAAAGAUCCUUACGGUCUAAUUAUACGAAUUACUGCCGAACAUGGUAGAUAUGUCGCCAGGAGUUUUAGUCCUAGGCAGCUCUCUACCGCCUCAGCUGGUAUACCUUUGUUUGAGAUCUUUCUUACUAUAAAUAAGAAAGGUGAAUACAAACAACAGGCCGUGUAUUUGAAAAGGAGAAGAGUUUUCCAAGAUUCUUCAACGGUGCCUCCAAAAACAUCUGGAGUCCCCAGCCGCUUGGCUCCAUCAGACCCCACCAAAGACAAAACUGAUCUUUUUGUUGUCAGUACUGAAGAUGGUGUUGAUGAAGAAGAUGAUAAUGAAGAUGAUGAAUCUGAUGAGGGUGAGGGACUAACUGGUUUCCAAAAUGUAUUACGAGAUAUGAUUCCUGGUGCAAAGGUCAAGGUUGUGGAAGUUACUGCACCUGGGAAAGUAGACCCAGAUUUUAUAUCCAAGGUAAUUGAGCAGAUAAUAGAUGAAGAAGAUGAAGAAAAAGGUGCCGAGGUUGAAAGCAUAGAAGUGGAUGAUGAAACUAAGAGUGAUGGUGACCAAGACAGAGAUCAAAUUGAGAUGGAUGCCAAUAGUGGAGUUAUUGAUAGUGACAGGCGAGGUGAAAUUGCAGUUAAAGUUGUUGUUGGUGGUCUUGUACAAAAACUUUCCAGCAGUGUUCCUGCAAUAGAAUCACUUCGAGUGCCCGCUAAACUAGUGAAAAAUGGGCGCCUAAUGUUUUCAUUUUCUAUAGAAAAGGACAUAAACCAACAAGAAACCAGUCUCAAGAAAAAGGGUGUGACGGAUAGAAAAGCAAAGCUUCCAGGUCAACGCAGUGCAGAUGAAAUAAUGUUCGAUCUUGCUAAAUUUUUCGGCAGGGAGAAGAUACCUUUGAAGGUGCUCAAAGAUGUUGGUGAAUUGAUAAAUGUUACUCUGAAUCAAGCUCAAAAUCGUCAACCGCUAUCUGGAUCUACCACUUUCCGUCGCAUUGAGACUGCAGCAUCACCUGAUCCCCUAAAUGGAUUAUAUAUCGGGACACAUGGGCUUUACACUUCAGAAGUCAUUCAUCUUAAGCGCAAAUUUGGUCAGUGGCAAGGGGAUAGUGGGACUAAGGAGCCUUUAGAUCUUGAAUUUUAUGAAUAUGUGGAGGCGGUAAAAUUAACUGGAGAUCCUUAUGUACCAGCAGGCCAGGUGGCAUUUCGUGCCAGAGUUGGUAAAAGAUAUCAGCUCCCACAUAAUGGGAUAAUUCCUGAAGAAUUCGGAGUGGUUGCUCGAUAUAAAGGACAGGGGCGGCUUGCUGAGCCAGGCUUUCGAAAUCCUCGAUGGGUUGAUGGCGAACUUGUUAUUCUUGAUGGAAAGUGCAUCAAAGGAGGGCCCGUAGUUGGAUUUGUAUAUUGGGCCCCUGAAUAUCAAUUCUUGGUAUUCUUUAAUCGCCUAAGGCUUCAACAAUAGUCUGUUGUACAUAGUAUUUGAGCAUGUUUAUCUUUGGUUCAAAUAACACGGGUUCAACAUGAUACGUCUCACUGAACUGUAGAGCGACAAAGAAGGGAAGAGAUUCUAGCUUAUAUUUCAACUUCUUACUUAUUGGUUCUGAGUAUCGACUCUGGAGAAGUCACCACGAAGCUUCGUAAGAUCCGGCGAGAAGAAAACCAUUCAGUCUUUCAGGAAGUACUGUUUUCUUUGGAUAUCGAUCGAUCUAGUAAUUAUAUCGUAGCAUCCAAUAAAUUCUGAAAUUACAACCCUAUUGGAAUCCUCAUAGCCACCAUAGGUUGAUAAGAUCCAAAUGAUCAUAGUUGGGAGUUAGGACCAGUGAAAUCCAGGCUUUGGAAUGGCCUUAGCUUAUGAGCUUCAAAAUCACACUGUAAAUUAUCUCCGUUUUUUUGUUUCUUAACUACUAAAAGAGCCCUUGAACUAGUUUACUUUUGUUGAACAAGUCCUUAUACUCUUGUUGUUUUCAUAUAAGCCCUUAU